UGGACACACAAAUGAACGGUUG
Molecule: microRNA, 22 nt
Filed under: Euprymna scolopes
Lineage: Eukaryota; Metazoa; Mollusca; Cephalopoda; Sepiida; Sepiolidae
Description: Esc-Novel-59-v2_3p (mature (guide))
Source: RNAcentral